CUUAGGCGUGUGACUGCGUACCUUUUGUAUAAUGGGUCAGCGACUUAUAUUCUGUAGCAAGGUUAACCGAAUAGGGGAGCCGAAGGGAAACCGAGUCUUAACUGGGCGUUAAGUUGCAGGGUAUAGACCCGAAACCCGGUGAUCUAGCCAUGGGCAGGUUGAAGGUUGGGUAACACUAACUGGAGGACCGAACCGACUAAUGUUGAAAAAUUAGCGGAUGACUUGUGGCUGGGGGUGAAAGGCCAAUCAAACCGGGAGAUAGCUGGUUCUCCCCGAAAGCUAUUUAGGUAGCGCCUCGUGAAUUCAUCUCCGGGGGUAGAGCACUGUUUCGGCAAGGGGGUCAUCCCGACUUACCAACCCGAUGCAAACUGCGAAUACCGGAGAAUGUUAUCACGGGAGACACACGGCGGGUGCUAACGUCCGUCGUGAAGAGGGAAACAACCCAGACCGCCAGCUAAGGUCCCAAAGUCAUGGUUAAGUGGGAAACGAUGUGGGAAGGCCCAGACAGCCAGGAUGUUGGCUUAGAAGCAGCCAUCAUUUAAAGAAAGCGUAAUAGCUCACUGGUCGAGUCGGCCUGCGCGGAAGAUGUAACGGGGCUAAACCAUGCACCGAAGCUGCGGCAGCGACGCUGAUGCGUU
RNAcentral lists this ribosomal RNA (638 nucleotides) under Escherichia coli. RNAcentral describes it as "partial 23S ribosomal RNA". It matches the Rfam family "Bacterial large subunit ribosomal RNA", at positions 584 to 1222 of the family's 2925-position model. Lineage: Bacteria; Pseudomonadati; Pseudomonadota; Gammaproteobacteria; Enterobacterales; Enterobacteriaceae. The record is from RNAcentral.